Molecule: transfer RNA, 69 nt
Filed under: Encyrtus infelix
Lineage: Eukaryota; Metazoa; Arthropoda; Insecta; Hymenoptera; Encyrtidae
Description: tRNA-Ala
Source: RNAcentral
AGGGAUAUAGUUAAUUAUAUUAUAAUAUUUAUUUUGCUAAUAAAAGUAAUAUGGUAUUUAUUAUUCUUA